RNAcentral lists this ribosomal RNA (253 nucleotides) under uncultured bacterium. RNAcentral's name for it is "partial 16S ribosomal RNA". It matches the Rfam family "Bacterial small subunit ribosomal RNA", at positions 524 to 776 of the family's 1533-position model. The record is from RNAcentral.
UACGUAGGUGGCAAGCGUUGUUCGGAAUUAUUGGGCGUAAAGGGCGCGUAGGCGGUUUGUUAAGUCGGCUGUGAAAGCCCGGGGCUCAACCCCGGAGGGUCAGCCGAUACUGGCAGACUAGAGUACGGAAGAGGUAGCUGGAAUUCCCGGUGUAGCGGUGAAAUUCGUAGAUAUUGGGAAGAACACCGGUGGCGAAGGCGGCUAUCUGGACCGACAUUGACGCUGAGGCGCGAAAGCGUGGGGAGCAAACAGG